RNAcentral lists this ribosomal RNA (164 nucleotides) under Boechera holboellii. Its description in RNAcentral is "5.8S ribosomal RNA". It matches the Rfam family "5.8S ribosomal RNA". From Rfam's summary of the family: 5.8S ribosomal RNA (5.8S rRNA) is a component of the large subunit of the eukaryotic ribosome. It is transcribed by RNA polymerase I as part of the 45S precursor that also contains 18S and 28S rRNA. Lineage: Eukaryota; Viridiplantae; Streptophyta; Magnoliopsida; Brassicales; Brassicaceae. The record is from RNAcentral.
AACGACUCUCGGCAACGGAUAUCUCGGCUCUCGCAUCGAUGAAGAACGUAGCGAAAUGCGAUACUUGGUGUGAAUUGCAGAAUCCCGUGAACCAUCGAGUCUUUGAACGCAAGUUGCGCCCCAAGCCUUCUGGCCGGGGGCACGUCUGCCUGGGUGUCACAAAU